Molecule: small nucleolar RNA, 83 nt
Organism: Frankliniella occidentalis (western flower thrips)
Lineage: Eukaryota; Metazoa; Arthropoda; Insecta; Thysanoptera; Thripidae
Source: RefSeq, a predicted model, not a curated record
UCAUAGUGAUGUCUUGCCAUGCUAAUACUGAGGAUGCUGUAGGUAUUCGCUGAGUUCAAAGUUUCUCAAGUUAUCUGAAUGAA